This 461-nucleotide ribosomal RNA is filed under the name uncultured Arcobacter sp. Its description in RNAcentral is "bacterial SSU rRNA". It matches the Rfam family "Bacterial small subunit ribosomal RNA", at positions 111 to 592 of the family's 1533-position model. The record is from RNAcentral. Lineage: Bacteria; Pseudomonadati; Campylobacterota; Epsilonproteobacteria; Campylobacterales; Arcobacteraceae.
UAAUAUAUAGGUAACAUGCCUUCGAGAAGGGGAUAACGUUUGGAAACGAACGCUAAUACCCUAUAUGCCUUUAAGACAUAAGUCUGCAAGGGAAAUACUUAUAGCUCGAAGACUGGCCUGUACAGUAUCAGUUAGUUGGUGAGGUAAUGGCUCACCAAGACAAUGACGCUUAACUGGUUUGAGAGGAUGAUCAGUCACACUGGAACUGAGACACGGUCCAGACUCCUACGGGAGGCAGCAGUGGGGAAUAUUGCACAAUGGACGAAAGUCUGAUGCAGCAACGCCGCGUGGAGGAUGACACAUUUCGGUGCGUAAACUCCUUUUAUAUAGGAAGAUAAUGACGGUACUAUAUGAAUAAGCACCGGCUAACUCCGUGCCAGCAGCCGCGGUAAUACGGAGGGUGCAAGCGUUACUCGGAAUCACUGGGCGUAAAGAGAAUGUAGGCGGGUAGAUAAGUCAGA